This 856-nucleotide ribosomal RNA is filed under the name Botryosphaeria dothidea. Its description in RNAcentral is "partial large subunit ribosomal RNA". It matches the Rfam family "Eukaryotic large subunit ribosomal RNA", at positions 67 to 940 of the family's 3401-position model. The record is from RNAcentral. Lineage: Eukaryota; Fungi; Ascomycota; Dothideomycetes; Botryosphaeriales; Botryosphaeriaceae.
AACAGGGAUUGCCUUAGUAACGGCGAGUGAAGCGGCAACAGCUCAAAUUUGAAAGCUGGCUCCUUUGGAGUCCGCGUUGUAAUUUGUAGAGGAUGAUUCGGCAAGGGCUCCCGCCUAAGUCUCCUGGAACGGAGCGUCAUAGAGGGUGAGAAUCCCGUAUGCGGUGGGCUGCCUAAGCCAUGUGAAUCUCCUUCGACGAGUCGAGUUGUUUGGGAAUGCAGCUCUAAAUGGGAGGUAAAUUUCUUCUAAAGCUAAAUACCGGCCAGAGACCGAUAGCGCACAAGUAGAGUGAUCGAAAGAUGAAAAGCACUUUGGAAAGAGAGUUAAAAAGUACGUGAAAUUGUUGAAAGGGAAGCGCUUGCAGCCAGACUUGUCCGCAGUUGCUCAGCCGGUCUCCUGACCGGUGUACUCUUCUGCGGCCAGGCCAGCAUCAGUUCGGGCGGUCGGAUAAAGACCUCGGGAAUGUAGCUCCUCUCGGGGAGUGUUAUAGCCCGGGGUGGAAUGCGGCCAGCCUGGACUGAGGAUCUCGCUUCGGCUAGGAUGCUGGCGUAAUGGCUGUAAGCGGCCCGUCUUGAAACACGGACCAAGGAGUCUAACAUCUAUGCGAGUGUUUGGGUGUCAAACCCAUGCGCGUAAUGAAAGUGAACGGAGGUGGGAACCCUCACGGGUGCACCAUCGACCGAUCCUGAUGUCUUCGGAUGGAUUUGAGUAAGAGCAUAGCUGUUGGGACCCGAAAGAUGGUGAACUAUGCCUGAAUAGGGUGAAGCCAGAGGAAACUCUGGUGGAGGCUCGCAGCGGUUCUGACGUGCAAAUCGAUCGUCAAAUUUGGGUAUAGGGGCGAAAAGACUAAUCGAAC